RNAcentral lists this non-coding RNA (246 nucleotides) under Thalassiosira rotula. Lineage: Eukaryota; Bacillariophyta; Thalassiosirophyceae; Thalassiosirales; Thalassiosiraceae. The record is from RNAcentral.
AUAAAUGGGGGAAAUGGUAGCGGACAGAGACAAUAAAUAAGUGCUCAGGAAAGGCGUGUCUUUGCUCCUUUCUACUCUUUUAAUUUUAAUUUUAAUUUUAUUUUUUUGUAUUGUUUUCUUCCAAUUUGUUACCAAUAUAGGCAGGAGGCAGAUAUGGAGGCAUUGUUAGAGGCAAUGGAUGAAGGAAGUGGAUACAGGUGGAGACAAUGAACUGAUACUGGGUAAGUUAUAUUGUUGCUCAUUUCU